Molecule: ribosomal RNA, 253 nt
Filed under: uncultured bacterium
Lineage: Bacteria
Description: partial 16S ribosomal RNA
Rfam family: Bacterial small subunit ribosomal RNA
Source: RNAcentral
UACGUAGGGGGCGAGCGUUGUCCGGAAUCAUUGGGCGUAAAGCGCGUGUAGGCGGUUCAGUAAGUCUGCUGUGAAAAUCCGGGGCUCAACCCCGGACUUGCAGUGGGUACGGGCAGACUAGAGUGUGGUAGGGGAGACUGGAAUUCCUGGUGUAGCGGUGAAAUGCGCAGAUAUCAGGAGGAACACCGAUGGCGAAGGCAGGUCUCUGGGCCACUACUGACGCUGAGAAGCGAAAGCAUGGGGAGCGAACAGG